UGUUGUCGUCCGCCAGGCCCUUGGAGGCUUCGAAGUGGUAGCCUUUGGUCGGCCAGUGGCCGACGAUGGCCGCGCCGUGCGGUUCGAUGAUGUCGC
RNAcentral lists this transfer RNA (96 nucleotides) under Serratia entomophila. Its description in RNAcentral is "tRNA-Tyr(gta)". Lineage: Bacteria; Pseudomonadati; Pseudomonadota; Gammaproteobacteria; Enterobacterales; Yersiniaceae. The record is from RNAcentral.